CAGUCGCCGCGGUAAUACAGAGGGUGCGAGCGUUAAUCGGAUUUACUGGGCGUAAAGCGUGCGUAGGCGGCUAAUUGAGUCGGAUGUGAAAUCCCCGAGCUUAACUUGGGAAUUGCAUUCGAUACUGGUUAGCUAGAGUGUGGGAGAGGAUGGUAGAAUUCCAGGUGUAGCGGUGAAAUGCGUAGAGAUCUGGAGGAAUACCGAUGGCGAAGGCAGCCAUCUGGCCUAACACUGACGCUGAGGUACGAAAGCAUGGGGAGCAAACAGGAUUAGAGACCCCGGUAGUCCCUGUCUCUUAUAC
Molecule: ribosomal RNA, 301 nt
Filed under: uncultured bacterium
Lineage: Bacteria
Description: partial 16S ribosomal RNA
Rfam family: Bacterial small subunit ribosomal RNA
Source: RNAcentral